This 1051-nucleotide unclassified non-coding RNA is filed under the name Hevea brasiliensis (rubber tree). The record is from RNAcentral. Lineage: Eukaryota; Viridiplantae; Streptophyta; Magnoliopsida; Malpighiales; Euphorbiaceae.
UCGAUGGCUUGAGGAUCCCGACUCAGAUGAGACCAAGAAGUUUGUGGAAAAACAGGUGAAUCUAACGGACUCAAUUCUCAAGACUUGUGAGACAAGAGAAAAGCUAAGGGAAAAUAUAACGGAGUUGUAUGAUUUUCCUAAAUAUGAAGCUCCUUUUAGGGCAGGAGAUAAGUACUUUUACUUCCACAAUACAGGACUGCAACCCCAAAAAGUCCUUUAUGUGCAGGAUAGCUUGGAUGGAGAACCAGAGAUCUUGCUUGAUCCAAACACACUUAGUGAGGACGGGACAGUUGCACUGAGUAUUUGUUCCAUUAGCGAGGAUGCUAUGUUUUUGGCAUAUGGCAUUAGUUCGAGCGGUAGUGAUUGGGUGACUAUUAAAAUUAUGCAGGUUGUUGCUAAGAGCGUCGAGCCUGAUGUAUUGUCGUGGGUUAAGUUUUCUGAUGCUAGCUGGACCCAUGAUAGCAAAGGUUUUUUCUACAGCCGUUAUCCCGCACCCAAAGAUGGAGAAAGUUUGGAUGCUGGAACAGAGACACAUUCCAAUUUAUACCAUGAAGUGUAUUAUCACCGCUUGGGUACUGAUCAGUCUGAUGAUAUCUUGUGCUGGAAAGAUCCUGAAAAUCCGAAGUGUACGCGUUCAGCUUCAGUUACACAAGAUGGAAAGUAUGUUCUCCUGUAUACUUAUGAGAACUGUGAUCCAGUCAACCAAGUUUAUUACUGUGAUUUAUCUGCACUUCCUGAUUGGGUUGAAGGUUGUAAGGGGAGAAAUGAAUUGCUACCCUUUAUCAAGCUUGUUGAUAACUUUGUCGCCUCUUAUGAGUAUGUUGCAAAUGAUGGCUCUGCUCUCACUUUUCGGACCAAUAAGGAUGCUCCCAAGUAUAAGUUAGUCAGAGUAGAUCUGAAAGAGCCUGAUUCUUGGUCUGAUAUCAUCCAAGAAAAUGAAAAGGAUGUGCUCGAAUCAGCUGUUGUUGUCAAUAACAAUCAACUUGUUGUGAAUUAUCUGAGUGACGUGAAAAAUGUUUUGCAAUUGAGAGAUCUGAAAGCAGGAGCACUG